CCUACGGGAGGCAGCAGUAGGGAAUCUUCCACAAUGGGCGCAAGCCUGAUGGAGCAACGCCGCGUGGGUGAAGAAGGUCUUCGGAUCGUAAAACCCUGUUGUUAGAGAACAAAGUGCGUGAGAGUAACUGUUCACGUUUCUACGUUAUCUAACCAGAUAGCCACGGCUAACUACGUGCCAGCAGCCGCUGGAAUACGUCGGUGGCAAGCGUUAUCCGGAUUUAUUGAGCGUAAAGGGAACGCAGGCGGUCUUUUAAGUCUGAUGUGAAAGUCUUCGGCUUAACCGGAGUAGUGCAUUGGAAACUGGGAGACUUGAGUGCAGAAGAGGAGAGUGGAACUCCAUGUGUAGCGGUGAAAUGCGUAGAUAUAUGGAAGAACACCAGUGGCGAAAGCGGCUCUCUGGUCUGUAACUGACGCUGAGGUUCGAAAGCGUGGGUAGCAAACAGGAUUAGAUACCCCAGUAGUC
Molecule: ribosomal RNA, 465 nt
Filed under: uncultured bacterium
Lineage: Bacteria
Description: partial 16S ribosomal RNA
Rfam family: Bacterial small subunit ribosomal RNA
Source: RNAcentral